Molecule: ribosomal RNA, 941 nt
Filed under: Lentilactobacillus buchneri
Lineage: Bacteria; Bacillati; Bacillota; Bacilli; Lactobacillales; Lactobacillaceae
Description: bacterial SSU rRNA
Rfam family: Bacterial small subunit ribosomal RNA
Source: RNAcentral
UAGAGUUUGAUCAUGGCUCAGGACGAACGCUGGCGGCGUGCCUAAUACAUGCAAGUCGAACGCGUCUCCGUUGAUGAUUUCAGGUGCUUGCACCUGAAAGAUUUAACAUUGAGACGAGUGGCGAACUGGUGAGUAACACGUGGGUAACCUGCCCUUGAAGUAGGGGAUAACACUUGGAAACAGGUGCUAAUACCGUAUAACAACCAAAACCACCUGGUUUUGGUUUAAAAGACGGCUUCGGCUGUCACUUUAGGAUGGACCCGCGGCGUAUUAGCUUGUUGGUAAGGUAACGGCUUACCAAGGCGAUGAUACGUAGCCGACCUGAGAGGGUAAUCGGCCACAUUGGGACUGAGACACGGCCCAAACUCCUACGGGAGGCAGCAGUAGGGAAUCUUCCACAAUGGACGAAAGUCUGAUGGAGCAACGCCGCGUGAGUGAUGAAGGGUUUCGGCUCGUAAAACUCUGUUGUUGGAGAAGAACAGGUGUCAGAGUAACUGUUGACAUCUUGACGGUAUCCAACCAGAAAGCCACGGCUAACUACGUGCCAGCAGCCGCGGUAAUACGUAGGUGGCAAGCGUUGUCCGGAUUUAUUGGGCGUAAAGCGAGCGCAGGCGGUUUUUUAGGUCUGAUGUGAAAGCCUUCGGCUUAACCGGAGAAGUGCAUCGGAAACCGGGAGACUUGAGUGCAGAAGAGGACAGUGGAACUCCAUGUGUAGCGGUGAAAUGCGUAGAUAUAUGGAAGAACACCAGUGGCGAAGGCGGCUGUCUGGUCUGUAACUGACGCUGANGCUCGAAAGCAUGGGUAGCGAACAGGAUUAGAUACCCUGGUAGUCCAUGCCGUAAACGAUGAGUGCUAAGUGNUUGGAGGGUUUCCCGCCCUUCAGUGCUGCAGCUAACGCAUUAAGCACUCCGCCNNGGGGAGUACNANCCGCNAGGUUGAAC